Molecule: long non-coding RNA, 2347 nt
Filed under: Lepisosteus oculatus (spotted gar)
Lineage: Eukaryota; Metazoa; Chordata; Actinopteri; Semionotiformes; Lepisosteidae
Description: lncRNA (ENSLOCG00000022624.1)
Source: RNAcentral
AAAAAAAAAUCAAACCCAGUCCAUUCAAGGCAGGGUUCUCCAUCUCCCACCGGACACCGCCGAAAGCAAAACCCGACUUCGCUGCACACACGCCGGCACACAACCCACCCGCCUCACGCACCAGAGCGGCUGGGAUGAGACGCAUUACAGUAAACCAGCCACACGACUCAAAGGACGAGAGAAAGCGCGCAGCCCUGACGGGGCGAAAUGACAAUUCAGUCCUGAUCGAAGGGCAGCUAUUAAGCCGCAUUAGGAAAUUAAAUAUUGAACAGCGCGGCGUAGCAAGGGGCGGCACAGCGAAGUUAUCUUUAAUCGUCUCUUCCCUGUUCGACUGUGUAGCGUUCCCCCCGGGGAGAGAGGGAUCCGAAACCGGCGACCAACGAGCCCUCGACACGCACACGCGUGGAGGGGCUGGCGGCACGCGCCCCAGGCAGGCGGGCAGGCGCGCAGGCUGUCCGUCACGGGGAAAUAAACUCAAGGGAAGACAUGACGCGGGUUCCCGGAGGAAGUUGCAGACACAUUACAGCCAGCUGCGGCUCGGGUCUGCCACUCGGAUGACUAGAAACGCGGCGCCAAACGCAGAAGGGGCGACUCUGCUCGGAGAGAUACCGACUCAGAGGCUACAAAUCCCGAGAGCAGCCCCUCACGAUGAUGGAUCGCCAUGCACCCGUGUGCCGGCAGUCUUCCUCGUAUUACACACCGCGCUGUGUCUGAAGUCGAGCCCCAAACACGGUCUCGAUGGCGCAGGCACAGGCGCUGAGCGGAGCAGAGGACCGUCACCACCCCCGUCUGAGAGGAGCCCCAGUCCUGGAUCACGACGGCCCUGUGUCAGCCAGCCCCCUCCAGGACCAGCACGCCCACACUGGGAGCCCCCCGAGUGGGGCUCAGCACAGACAUCCUGCACGUCCGCAGACACCCAUCGCACAGCGGCUGGAGAGGGGACCUGGGGGGUUUCCCAGGGGUCACGGCAGAACAGCAAGGCGCCCCGAAAUAAGGCGACCCAGACUCCUGUCCCUGCGUCAACCCGUGUUCACACCACACACACGCAGUAAUUGUGUGCAUCUGUGUUUGUGUGUAAUACCUGCGUCAACGGCACUUGAUUUCACACACACACACAGACACAGACACACACAGACACAGAGAGAGAGACGUGCAGGGUCAAAGUUUAAUCAACAGUAAGAGUUCAGAGACAUGCCAAUCCCCUGUGUAUUCCAGUGUGGCUUUGAACAUGCAUUCUAAGGUGAAGUCUCACUGAAUCUCACAAUAACCUUGGAGAUACAGUAUGCACAAUCCGAACACCUGUGUCAUAACCCCACCUCAACCACCAGGCCUGAAACUGAGAAGACCACGGGGGGGGGGCCUAAUCCGUCAAUUUAGAGUCCUUCAAGACGUUGGGAUUCCUCAGUGACAAGUGGAAACUACCUGGAAGUGCAUUUAAUACAGAGAACAGGAGGCACUUCUUUACACAAAGGGGUGUGGGAGUGUGGACCGAGCUGCCCUGGCUUCUUUCAGAAAACGACUAGACGAGAUUCUGAAGUCAAUUAGCUACUAACUAGCAAACAAGCUAGACAGUCCAGACAGCCUCUCCUCGUUCCUCUCUUAUUGUAGCAAAUAAUACCUAAAGAUAUGUCCGGGGCUCUAAACCGAUGUGAAACGACUUGGUAAUUAAAAAAACAAAUGUCUCCAAUAUAUUCAGUCCUCUCAAAAAUAAACUAAUGAGAUAACUUUCUGUCAGUAGAAGGUAUUUCAAUUUUUAUGACGUGAAAUAUUUCCAGAUCGCAUUAAAUGAAAAGUUCACUGGAAAGAGAAGAAAAGUAAAAUGUGUGAUUUUGUUGUACACAAACGUUAGGUACAAUGAUUUUAGUUUGCUUUUACCUCCCCGCCGUGGCCUUUUUAGGUACUGCAAAACCUUCCCUUUAUUUCGCAACUGAAGGGAAGUAAUGACAUUUCUUCCCCUUUGACAGGCGUUUUCUGCAGGUUUCCGUGUCUGUCUUUACGAAUAGAGGAAACACUGAUUUCUCAGUAGGAAGUGAGACAGAUGUGCAAAACGCCUCUUCCUCGAAAUCGGCGUUAUUCUCCCAUAAAUACAAAAGCUAGACUUGGCCGAGGAAAAAGGUGGAUCAUCCAGGUGGGGCUGCACAUUGGUGGUGGUGGAGGGGAUCCCCAUUACCGCUUUGAGUGGAGUGUGCAGAAAAGCGCUAUAUAAGUGUAAGCAAUUAUUAUUAUUAUUAUUUUAAAAAAGCUCCCCUGCGUGGGUAUUACUAUAAAAUGAUCAGUAGGGGGCAGCAAAUCGAAGCCCUAAAGAAUAAAAUCCUUUCUUGUACCUUCUACAUUUGUAUUUAGUAAA